UAGAGGUGUUCAUGGUAGAGUACUGCACUUGGUACUGGGUCAUGAGGUAAUGGAGCGCUGUCGUAAUAAGAUACGCAUACGAGUGGCAAAUAUAAUGAUGGCACUUACAGUUGUGGGUUGCUGUAUAAUGGUAUACAGUGGAAAACAAGCUGCAAAAAGUGGAGAUUCAGUAGUGAAACAAAAUCUGGAUUGGCACAAAAAAUAUAAUGAAGAAUCAAAAAAAGCUUAGGCGCUUUGUGAAAAUUAUGAAAAUUUGUAAAGUAUGUAAUUCAUUUGAUGGAAAAGAUUUAAUAAUAAAAAUUUCUCAUCAUAAGUCA
Long non-coding RNA from Rhagoletis pomonella (apple maggot), 317 nucleotides. RefSeq lists it as uncharacterized. The record is from RefSeq and is a predicted model, not a curated record. NCBI's taxonomy places the organism in Eukaryota, Metazoa, Arthropoda, Insecta, Diptera, Tephritidae. The transcript is spliced from 2 exons.